AAAAGGAAUGAAGAUGAAGAGAUCGACAAUGAAUAGAAAGGAAUCAGAAUGCUCAACUUUGGCGGUGAAUAGUACUUGAAUAGAUGAACACAAAUGAAUGGUGCAGAAAAUGGCUAAUGAGAGAAAACAUUAUGUGAAACCAUAGAGGUGUGGGGAGUGCGUGCAAGGCGAAUAAAACAAUGGUGUGAGAAGAUAGUGGCAUUUAAGUAGUGCGAAGAGGGCGACAACCACUAGCUCAAAAAAGACCUUUAACCCUUUACACCUCCAACCCUCGAAUAUCCAACAUAGAAAAUGACCGAUGGCAUUUCUGUAAAUAAAACAACUAUUUAGACGUCGGCUCUGGGAGACAGACGUCUAAAUGCUCAUAUACGUUGGCUCCCCCAAAUGGACGCUAAAAUUAAACGAAAAAAGAAAAAAACAUUAAU
This 425-nucleotide long non-coding RNA is filed under the name Vigna radiata. RNAcentral's name for it is "long non-coding RNA (VRAD_LNC001061)". The record is from RNAcentral. Lineage: Eukaryota; Viridiplantae; Streptophyta; Magnoliopsida; Fabales; Fabaceae.